CGCUGGCGGCAGGCCUAACACAUGCAAGUCGAGCGGUAGAGAGAAGCUUGCUUCUCUUGAGAGCGGCGGACGGGUGAGUAAUGCCUAGGAAUCUGCCUGGUAGUGGGGGAUAACGUUCGGAAACGGACGCUAAUACCGCAUACGUCCUACGGGAGAAAGCAGGGGACCUUCGGGCCUUGCGCUAUCAGAUGAGCCUAGGUCGGAUUAGCUAGUUGGUGAGGUAAUGGCUCACCAAGGCGACGAUCCGUAACUGGUCUGAGAGGAUGAUCAGUCACACUGGAACUGAGACACGGUCCAGACUCCUACGGGAGGCAGCAGUGGGGAAUAUUGGACAAUGGGCGAAAGCCUGAUCCAGCCAUGCCGCGUGUGUGAAGAAGGUCUUCGGAUUGUAAAGCACUUUAAGUUGGGAGGAAGGGUUGUAGAUUAAUACUCUGCAAUUUUGACGUUACCGACAGAAUAAGCACCGGCUAACUCUGUGCCAGCAGCCGCGGUAAUACAGAGUGUGCAAGCGUUAAUCGGAAUUACUGGGCGUAAAGCGCGCGUAGGUGGUUUGUUAAGUUGGAUGUGAAAUCCCCGGGCUCAACCUGGGAACUGCAUUCAAAACUGACUGACUAGAGUAUGGUAGAGGGUGGUGGAAUUUCCUGUGUAGCGGUGAGAUGCGUAGAUAUAGGAAGGAACACCAGUGGCGAAGGCGACCACCUGGACUAAUACUGACACUGAGGUGCGAAAGCG
Molecule: ribosomal RNA, 732 nt
Filed under: uncultured bacterium
Lineage: Bacteria
Description: bacterial SSU rRNA
Rfam family: Bacterial small subunit ribosomal RNA
Source: RNAcentral